RNAcentral lists this unclassified non-coding RNA (2465 nucleotides) under Gigantopelta aegis. Its description in RNAcentral is "zinc finger protein 236-like, transcript variant X3". Lineage: Eukaryota; Metazoa; Mollusca; Gastropoda; Neomphalida; Peltospiridae. The record is from RNAcentral.
CCGAUAUUUUUGUUGAUCGUGUUCGUCCUAUCUAUCGUGAUAUUUAUAUGUACACACAUAUCCAAUGUUUUUGCAUGUUCUGUAAGUUCUGUAAGAAGUGAUUGAUUCAAGCAGCACAAUGUUGGAAAAACAAUAUUCAGUUCAGUUUUUCACAUCCCUAGUGGAAUCGAUGCAGAAGGUGUGUCGAGAAUACCUGCAGUUUGAACAAGCCGUGGAGCUGAGUGGGUACCUGUCUCUGGAGAUCGACAACACAAAGCGUGAGAGGUACGUUGUCAGUGAACUGCUGCACAACACGGGCAAUGUGAUCAGUGAGAGCUACUGCACCAAGGCCUUCAAGACUGUGCCACACCACGCCAAAAACCACGACAGUGAUCGCGACGUGUUGCGUGAGUUAAACAACAGACAGCGUGACCAGUCUCACGUGUUGACCGUCGGAGCCGAUUCGGGUGGAUGUUCGAAACAGUUUGUUGAUCGUUCUGCGGCAGGUUUCUCCUCCUUCGUGAAUGAGAAUCCUGUGCGAAAGAAUAACUCAUUUCCUCGGACGGACAUUUCUCAGCAGGAGGAGAUUUCGUAUACGACAGACGACUGGCAGUCGACGUGUGUACAGUAUCAGAGUGGUUCAGUAGAGACAGGCAGUGCAACAUGCGUGUUCCCUGGGUCACCUUCAGUGAAUGGCAGCUGUAACAGAAUGGAGCUGACAUCAGGGAAAAGACGUACUGCGCACACAGCAUCUACGUCAGAACCAAAAAAGGGUAAACCAUCAUCAAGCAGGGAGCUCUCUGAACGUCUGUCAUCAUCUUCUGUGUUGAGUAACAUUCAACAGAGCAGUGACCAGUCUGUGUCUCCAUAUUCCACAACCAGUGAUUCGCAGUCUUCAGUAACCAACACGUGUAAUAUCAACUCUCAGUCUUCAGUAACCAACACGUGUAAUAUCGGAUCACAGUCUUUGUUACCCAACCCGUAUAAUAUCAAAACAGAGGACGACUCGUCCUUGCAGUUUGUUCAGAUAGAUGAAGCAGAAGACAGCAGUGGUUUACUAGAUGGUAGACUUGGUAGUGAUCGCUUCAGAUCAAUGUCCGAGAACGAUCAGAAAUCGGAUGAAGCGCUGCAUAGCAUUCAAGGGAAUCACAGUCUUUGGCAAGAAGGAGAUGAGCCAAACCGACAAGUGGAAUUGUUCAAGACUGGAGAUGAAAGCUUCAUGUGUGAAAAUACCACUGUCCUCGAUCAAACUGCACAGUCUGCUGCUAACAUCAGGUUCAUCUGCCGCGUCUGCCAGAGGGCGUUUCUCACCAGACAACGUUUACAACGCCACGUGUUCACUCACAGCAUGGUCAAACCAUAUCACUGCGACGAGUGCCACACUCCGUUCAGUUCACAGACGGCCAAGAACCAGCACGUUCGGAUGAUACACAGAAAUGACUAUCCCUUCACGUGUGUCCUGUGUGGGUUAGGCUUCUCCAGAAUGUCACGUCUUGAGAAGCACACUGCAAAGACUCAUACAUGUUCCAGGCAAUAGCGGUUACCAUCUUAAAACAAGCCUCACAUAUUCUUGCCCAGACCAGCACGGUUAAAGGGAACGAAGGAGGUUUGGUUAAUGCAGAAACAAAUGCCAUCUACAAAUCUACUCAGCACCCCCGUAUCGUCUCACCCAGACGCAGCUCAGUGGUCUGAUGUGCGUAACCCAUGGCAUGCCUGGCCUGAAAACACUUCUUGUGGAACUUCCUGUAGAACACGGAGGCCGGCAGUGCAGCCCAGGCACUCUUCAAACACACGCACUGAAAAUAGUCUGGAAGAGAAAAAAGAUUCCUGUUACUAAAUGCACACCGAACUAAGAAGUAAACUGCAUGUUUUCUUUAACAACACCUCAGCACGUUGUUUAGUUGGUGGUUAUUAGGAAAGGAAAAGAAUGCUUGCUAAUGACACAUAAGGACAUUGAUUAGUCAUGUACAAGUGGGGAAUGGCAACUUUUAGAAAUAAUAUGCGAUUUGAAGCCCUAAUGAUAUACCGGUACUCUACAUAAAAUGCAAGGAUCGAUCAAGUGAAGAAGAGUGGAAUGUUUGUAUAAUGACAACCAGAGAGAGAGAGAGAGACAGACAGACAGAGAGAGAGGGAAGGAGGGAGACAGACGGAGAAAGAGAGGGGGAGGAACCAGACCAGACAGACAGCGAACAGGGAUGAACAGAACAGUGCAUACCAUCAUCUUUGAUAUACCAGUUAUGAAGCAGAUUUGAACAGGAAAAAAACAAUGGUUUCUCAAGCAUAUUCAUGUUCCUAUCUCUGCAGGCAUGUGUGCAAGGCAAGGGGGGGGGGGGUGAUUGGGGGUCAAACCCCCCUGCAAAAAGUGAAUUUUCUUUUUAUUAAAAUAUAUUUUCUGGAGGAAUCGUACUGUAGGGUGUAUACUACCAAAUCAAAUCCCAUAGACGACAAUAGUAACAUAAGUGGCUAAAACUCCUACCUGCAACGUA